This 1041-nucleotide long non-coding RNA is filed under the name Manacus vitellinus (golden-collared manakin). RNAcentral's name for it is "lncRNA (ENSMVIG00005012275.1)". Lineage: Eukaryota; Metazoa; Chordata; Aves; Passeriformes; Pipridae. The record is from RNAcentral.
GGCGGAGGCGGCUGCGGGGGGAGCGGGGCAGGGACGGGCUCCGGCCCCUCCGGGCACCGCCGGCUCGCUUUUCCUCUUCACCUUCCUUUCCUCUCCUUCCUUUCCUUUCCUCUCCUUCCUUUCCUCUCCUCUCCUUUCUCUUCCAUUUCAUUUUUUUUUUCCAUUUCCCCCCUUUCUUUUCCUUUCUUCUCUUUUAAUUCCCCCUCCCACUUUUCCCAUUUCUUUUCUUCACUCUUCCUUCCUUUCCCCCUUUUCCUUUUUUUUCCAUUUCCCCCCUAUCUUUUCCUUUCUUCUCUUUUAAUUCCCCCUCCCACUUUCCCCGUUUCUUUUCUUCACUCUUCCUUCCUUUCCCCCUUUUCCUUUCUUUUCCUUCCCCCCUUUGUAUUUCUUUAUUUUCCUUUCUUUCCUUAUAACUUCUUUCCCAUUUUCCUCAUUUCUUUUCCUUGCUUUUCCUUCCUUCCCCCUUUUCAUUUUCUUUUCCUUCCCUCCUUUCUUUCCAUUCCCCCUUUCCCCCCUUUCUUUCCAUUCCCCCUUUUCCCUUUCUUUUUCUUUUUUCUUAUUCUUACCCCCCCUUUUUUUUCCGGGUUUCUUCCCUCUCUCACUUUCCCCCCCUUUUCCCUCCCUCUUUUUUCCCCUCCUUACUUUUCCCCCCAUUCUUUCCCUCCUAUAGUUCCUUCCCCUUUUUUCCCUUUUCUAUCCUUUCCCCCACUUCUCUCCUUUUCCCACCAACACCAACACCCUCCUCACAUCCCACUCCCUCUCCACCUUCUCCGUUUCCCCCAGGCCACGGAGCCCUUUUCCACGGGGAAUGUGGGAAAAGCAGGGAGCAGCUGUGAGGCUGUGGGCAGGGUCCCUCCCGCUGCUCCCACCUGCCAGGGGCUGGGUGGGGAAUCCUUGUCACUCCACAGAUUCCUGCAUCCACAUCCCGGCUGCCGGGAGCUCCCUACCUGUCCGAGCACCGCCCGUGCAAGGCCGGACAAGGAGCUCACCCUGCCUGGGGAAGGAGCAGCUUUCCACGGGGUUUUCUCCCACCAGCACUGA